GUGGGGGGGAGGCUACACAUGCAGUCGAGCGGAAACGAGUUAUCAGAACCUUCGGGGGACGAUAACGGCGUCGAGCGGCGGACGGGUGAGUAAUGCCUAGGAAAUUGCCCUGAUGUGGGGGAUAACCAUUGGAAACGAUGGCUAAUACCGCAUGAUGCCUACGGGCCAAAGAGGGGGACCUUCGGGCCUCUCGCGUCAGGAUAUGCCUAGGUGGGAUUAGCUAGUUGGUGAGGUAAGGGCUCACCAAGGCGACGAUCCCUAGCUGGUCUGAGAGGAUGAUCAGCCACACUGGAACUGAGACACGGUCCAGACUCCUACGGGAGGCAGCAGUGGGGAAUAUUGCACAAUGGGCGCAAGCCUGAUGCAGCCAUGCCGCGUGUGUGAAGAAGGCCUUCGGGUUGUAAAGCACUUUCAGUCGUGAGGAAGGUAGUGUAGUUAAUAGCUGCAUUAUUUGACGUUAGCGACAGAAGAAGCACCGGCUAACUCCGUGCCAGCAGCCGCGGUAAUACGGAGGGUGCGAGCGUUAAUCGGAAUUACUGGGCGUAAAGCGCAUGCAGGUGGUUUGUUAAGUCAGAUGUGAAAGCCCGGGGCUCAACCUCGGAAUUGCAUUUGAAACUGGCAGACUAGAGUACUGUAGAGGGGGGUAGAAUUUCAGGUGUAGCGGUGAAAUGCGUAGAGAUCUGAAGGAAUACCGGUGGCGAAGGCGGCCCCCUGGACAGAUACUGACACUCAGAUGCGAAAGCGUGGGGAGCAAACAGGAUUAGAUACCCUGGUAGUCCACGCCGUAAACGAUGUCUACUUGGAGGUUGUGGCCUUGAGCCGUGGCUUUCGGAGCUAACGCGUUAAGUAGACCGCCUGGGGAGUACGGUCGCAAGAUUAAAACUCAAAUGAAUUGACGGGGGCCCGCACAAGCGGUGGAGCAUGUGGUUUAAUUCGAUGCAACGCGAAGAACCUUACCUACUCUUGACAUCCAGAGAACUUUCCAGAGAUGGAUUGGUGCCUUCGGGAACUCUGAGACAGGUGCUGCAUGGCUGUCGUCAGCUCGUGUUGUGAAAUGUUGGGUUAAGUCCCGCAACGAGCGCAACCCUUAUCCUUGUUUGCCAGCGAGUAAUGUCGGGAACUCCAGGGAGACUGCCGGUGAUAAACCGGAGGAAGGUGGGGACGACGUCAAGUCAUCAUGGCCCUUACGAGUAGGGCUACACACGUGCUACAAUGGCGCAUACAGAGGGCGGCCAACUUGCGAAAGUGAGCGAAUCCCAAAAAGUGCGUCGUAGUCCGGAUUGGAGUCUGCAACUCGACUCCAUGAAGUCGGAAUCGCUAGUAAUCGUGGAUCAGAAUGCCACGGUGAAUACGUUCCCGGGCCUUGUACACACCGCCCGUCACACCAUGGGAGUGGGCUGCAAAAGAAGUAGGUAGUUUAACCUUCGGGGGGACGCUUACCACUUUUUUGU
Molecule: ribosomal RNA, 1451 nt
Filed under: Vibrio parahaemolyticus
Lineage: Bacteria; Pseudomonadati; Pseudomonadota; Gammaproteobacteria; Vibrionales; Vibrionaceae
Description: bacterial SSU rRNA
Rfam family: Bacterial small subunit ribosomal RNA
Source: RNAcentral